AUAGAACGCUGGCGGCAGGCAUAACACAUGCAAGUCGAACGGUCACAGGAAGAAGCUUGCUUCUUUGCUGACGAGUGGCGGACGGGUGAGUAAUGUCUGGGAAACUGCCUGAUGGAGGGGGAUAACUACUGGAAACGGUAGCUAAUACCGCAUAACGUCGCAAGACCAAAGAGGGGGACCUUCGGGCCUCUUGCCAUCGGAUGUGCCCAGAUGGGAUUAGCUAGUAGGUGGGGUAACGGCUCACCUAGGCGACGAUCCCUAGCUGGUCUGAGAGGAUGACCAGCCACACUGGAACUGAGACACGGUCCAGACUCCUACGGGAGGCAGCAGUGGGGAAUAUUGCACAAUGGGCGCAAGCCUGAUGCAGCCAUGCCGCGUGUAUGAAGAAGGCCUUCGGGUUGUAAAGUACUUUCAGCGGGGAGGAAGGGAGUAAAGUUAAUACCUUUGCUCAUUGACGUUACCCGCAGAAGAAGCACCGGCUAACUCCGUGCCAGCAGCCGCGGUAAUACGGAGGGUGCAAGCGUUAAUCGGAAUUACUGGGCGUAAAGCGCACGCAGGCGGUUUGUUAAGUCAGAUGUGAAAUCCCCGGGCUCAACCUGGGAACUGCAUCUGAUACUGGCAAGCUUGAGUCUCGUAGAGGGGGGUAGAAUUCCAGGUGUAGCGGUGAAAUGCGUAGAGAUCUGGAGGAAUACCGGUGGCGAAGGCGGCCCCUUGGGAAUGUACUGACGCUCAUGUGCGAAAGCGUGGGGAGCAAACAGG
This 759-nucleotide ribosomal RNA is filed under the name uncultured Enterobacteriaceae bacterium. RNAcentral describes it as "bacterial SSU rRNA". It matches the Rfam family "Bacterial small subunit ribosomal RNA", at positions 28 to 776 of the family's 1533-position model. Lineage: Bacteria; Pseudomonadati; Pseudomonadota; Gammaproteobacteria; Enterobacterales; Enterobacteriaceae. The record is from RNAcentral.